This 67-nucleotide ribozyme is filed under the name unclassified sequences. RNAcentral's name for it is "pistol ribozyme". It matches the Rfam family "Pistol ribozyme". The record is from RNAcentral.
ACUCGACCGGGCGAGUAUAAACAGGAUUCAGGCCCGGUGCGUCUCCGGGAAGCCCCGGAGGGUAUCA